This 253-nucleotide ribosomal RNA is filed under the name uncultured bacterium. RNAcentral's name for it is "partial 16S ribosomal RNA". It matches the Rfam family "Bacterial small subunit ribosomal RNA", at positions 524 to 776 of the family's 1533-position model. The record is from RNAcentral.
CACGGGGGGAGCAAGCGUUGUUCGGAAUCACUGGGCGUAAAGGGUGUCUAGGCGGUCAGGUAAGUGAGAUGUGAAAUGCCCCGGCUUACCCGGGGACCUGCAUCUCAUACUGCCUGGCUUGAGUAUGGGAGAGGAUGAGGGAAUUCCUGGUGUAGCGGUGAAAUGCGUAGAUAUCGUCAAGAACACCGAUAGCGAAGGCAGCUUACUAGACUGUAACUGACGCUGAGGCACGAAAGUGUGGGGAUCAAACAGG